This 250-nucleotide ribosomal RNA is filed under the name uncultured bacterium. RNAcentral's name for it is "partial 16S ribosomal RNA". It matches the Rfam family "Bacterial small subunit ribosomal RNA", at positions 812 to 1058 of the family's 1533-position model. The record is from RNAcentral.
GGUGCUAGGUGUCACGGGCAUUGACUCCCGUGGUGCCGUAGCAAACGCAUUAAGCACCCCGCCUGGGAAGUACGGCCGCAAGGCUAAAACUCAAAGGAAUUGACGGGGGCCCGCACAAGCGGUGGAGCAUGUGGUUUAAUUCGACGCAACGCGAAGAACCUUACCUGGGCUAGAAAACAUAGGAACCUGGUAGAAAUAUCGGGGUGCUCUUCGGAGAACCUGUGGUUAGGUGCUGCAUGGCUGUCGUCAG